AUGAGGAGUCGGGGCUCACUGGUGCUGCUGACGCACGUCCUGCUCUGCCUGGUAAGCGGCGCUUACUCUGGCCGCAUGAGCUCCUACGUGCGUAAUGAGUUCCCGUCCGACGACAUUCCUCUAGAGCACAAGUCUCUUGAGGUUCCAAAAGGCUACAAUGCUCCACGGCAGGUUCAUAUCACUCAAGGUGACUAUGACGGGAAAGCCGUCAUAAUCUCGUGGGUUACCGAGUUGGAACCCGCACGGAGCGAGGUGUUUUACGGUAAAGAGGAGAAACUCUAUGAUCGGAAAGCCAAAGGGAGGAUGACGAAUUAUACGUUCUACAACUAUCGAGGAAUUAUCAAACUGUUCAGGUAUAGCGCCUGCGAAGGACUGACGUACCGCAUGUCGACAUACUUCAAGAGAAUAAGCAAAGGUCUAGGUUCUGCACCAUACGUCGAGGUCAGGGACACAAGAUUACCACAUGCAUGUGCUAAACGAGGUGACAUCCCUAAGGCUCCGAGGAAAUUGCCAAAGUGUUCGAAGUGUGUAGUGCUUGGUCACAGGAAGAAUGUGUGA
RNAcentral lists this ribosomal RNA (558 nucleotides) under Triticum aestivum (bread wheat). Its description in RNAcentral is "partial small subunit ribosomal RNA". Lineage: Eukaryota; Viridiplantae; Streptophyta; Magnoliopsida; Poales; Poaceae. The record is from RNAcentral.